CCUACGGGAGGCAGCAGUGGGGGAUAUUGCACAAUGGGGGAAACCCUGAUGCAGCGACGCCGCGUGUGGGAAGACGGUCCUCUGGAUUGUAAACCACUGUCCCCAGGGACGAAGAUGACGGUACCUGGGGAGGAAGCUCCGGCUAACUACGUGCCAGCAGCCGCGGUAAUACGUAGGGAGCGAGCGUUGUCCGGAAUUACUGGGUGGAAAGGGAGCGUAGGCGGGACUGAAAGUUGGGUGUCAAAUCUACCGGCUCAACCGGCAGCCGCACUCAAAACUGCAGGUCUUGAGUGAAGUAGAGGCAGGAGGAAUUCCUAGUGUAGCGGUGAAAUGCGUAGAUAUUAGGAGGAACACCAGUGGCGAAGGCGGCCUGCUGGGCUUUUACUGACGCUGAGGCUCGAAAGUGUGGGGAGCAAACAGGAUUAGAUACCCCUGUAGUC
Molecule: ribosomal RNA, 440 nt
Filed under: uncultured bacterium
Lineage: Bacteria
Description: partial 16S ribosomal RNA
Rfam family: Bacterial small subunit ribosomal RNA
Source: RNAcentral